GUGUUCAGGUCGCUCACGCAACCUGCGAGCAGGAAGAGGAUAUUGUUUCAGCUUGAUUGUGCUUAGACAACAUGUUCGUCGUCUAACUCUUAUCUCUCUUAAUGAAUACGAGGUAAUUAUCAACAUUGAUCAUAUAAAAAGUUGUGUAUUGUGUAACUUAACUUACUGUGUUCAAGUAUCUCGCAACAAUUACGCGAAUUAAUCUAUACACGCUUCCUAAUUACUUUGACACGCAAGAUAUAAUUCGCAUAACAUCAUCCUAGCCACAGCUAGAGCACCGCUCUGCAUAUCGAACAUAUAAUAGCUCAUAUCAUUAUACCUGCAUAGCUGCAUUUCCCAGUGCCCUUGAAUGGCGUGAUGGAGAUGGCGAGAUUGUAGCCAUCGACGAGGCUGACAUCGUAGAAGUCCUGGUCGUUGCCUAGGGUGAUCUCAGCGAGGGUGGCAGGAGGGGUGCCGCCAAGGCCGUUGCAGUGGAGGGAGCCGCCGCAGUCUCCAGUGGCGCACCGGCCGUGUCCGUUGGCAUCAAAGGUGCAGCCAUGGCGGCCCCAGAAGCGGCCGGACCAGAGGGCCGG
This 572-nucleotide long non-coding RNA is filed under the name Eucalyptus grandis. Its description in RNAcentral is "long non-coding RNA (EGRA_LNC000540)". Lineage: Eukaryota; Viridiplantae; Streptophyta; Magnoliopsida; Myrtales; Myrtaceae. The record is from RNAcentral.